GUACACGCUGUGACUAGCAUAUCAAUAAGCGGAGGAAAAGAAACUAACAAGGAUUCCCUUAGUAACGGCGAGUGAAGCGGGAAGAGCUCAAAUUUGAAAUCUUCAAGGUUUUACCUUGACGAAUUGUAGUUUAAAGAAGUGUUUUCUGCUGAAGUUUUGGUAAAAGUUCUUUGGAAUAGGACAUCAUAGAGGGUGAGAAUCCCGUAUUUGACCAUUAUUUUCAGCCUUGUGAUACACUUUCAAAGAGUCGGAUUGUUUGGGAAUGCAGUCCAAAAUGGGUGGUAAAUUUCAUCUAAAGCUAAAUAUUGGCGAGAGACCGAUAGCGAACAAGUACCGUGAGGGAAAGAUGAAAAGAACUUUGAAAAGAGAGUUAAACAGUACGUGAAAUUGUCAAAAGGGAAGCGUUUGACACCAGUGUUGUUUUCUCGAAAAUCAAUUAAAAAUGGCUCGAUUUUGUAUUGCUUGAGACCUUAAAAGCUCACUGUACAUUUUUCGUGUCUUUUUUAAUGCACUUUUCGUUUAACAAGUCAACAUCAGUUUCUUUUGUUGUAAAAGGGUCAUUGGAAGGUGGCCUUCUUUUCGGAGAAAGUGUUUAUAGCCUUUGGCCUCUGCAAUCGGAGAGACUGAGGUCUGCAGCGUAGACUCUUCGGGGUUAGAUACAUUUGUGCUAAGUUAUAGCUUUUUAUAGACAACUUGUUGACUAUAAUUAGUCUUGUAGCUUACUCGCUUAUGCUAUUUUACCUACGCUUAGGAUGUUGAGUAGCGACAUACGCAC
Molecule: ribosomal RNA, 775 nt
Filed under: uncultured Neocallimastigales
Lineage: Eukaryota; Fungi; Neocallimastigomycota; Neocallimastigomycetes; Neocallimastigales
Description: partial large subunit ribosomal RNA
Rfam family: Eukaryotic large subunit ribosomal RNA
Source: RNAcentral